RNAcentral lists this ribosomal RNA (346 nucleotides) under uncultured bacterium. RNAcentral describes it as "partial 16S ribosomal RNA". It matches the Rfam family "Bacterial small subunit ribosomal RNA", at positions 338 to 676 of the family's 1533-position model. The record is from RNAcentral.
CCUACGGGAGGCAGCAGUGGGGAAUAUUGCGCAAUGGGCGAAAGCCUGACGCAGCGACGCCGCGUGAGGGAUGAAGGUCUGCGGAUCGGAAACCUCUGUCAGCAGGGAAGAACGGUCACGGUGCUAAUCAGCAGUGAAUUGACGGUACCGGCAAAGGAAGCACCGGAUAACUCCGUGCCAGCAGCCGCGGUAAUACGGAGGGGGCGAGCGUUAAUCGGAAUUAAUGGGCGUAAAGCGCUCGUAGGCGGUAUGUCAAGUCAAGGGUGAAAUCCCCGCGCUCAACGUGGGAACGGCCUUUGAAACUGGCAACCUGGAGUGUGUGAGAGGCUAGUGGCAUUCCAGGUGU